AACGAACGCUGGCGGCAUGCCUAACACAUGCAAGUCGAACGAGACCUCCGGGUCUAGUGGCGCUCGGGUGCGUCACGCGUGGGAACCUGCCCUUAGGUUCGGAAUUACUCCCCGAAAGGGGUGCUAAUACCGGAUAAUGUCUUCGGACCCAACAUUUAUCGUCAUUGAAUGGGCCCGCGUUGGAUUAGCUAGUUGGUAGAGUAAAAGCCUAUCAAGGCGACGAUCCAUAGCUGGUCUGAGAGGAUGAUCAGCCACACUGGGACUGGGACCUGCCCCAGACUAUUACGGGAGGCGGGAGUGGGGAAUAUUGAACAAUGGGGGGAGGCCUGAUACGGCCAUGGCGUGGGAGUGCUGAAGGGCUGAGGGUUGUAAAGCGCUUUUACCCGGGAUGAUGUUGACAGUACCGGGAGAAUAAGCGCCGGCUAACUCCGUG
Molecule: ribosomal RNA, 433 nt
Filed under: uncultured bacterium
Lineage: Bacteria
Description: partial 16S ribosomal RNA
Rfam family: Bacterial small subunit ribosomal RNA
Source: RNAcentral